RNAcentral lists this long non-coding RNA (485 nucleotides) under Panax ginseng (ginseng). RNAcentral's name for it is "long non-coding RNA (PGIN_LNC003299)". Lineage: Eukaryota; Viridiplantae; Streptophyta; Magnoliopsida; Apiales; Araliaceae. The record is from RNAcentral.
CCCGGAAAAUUUUGGCCAGAAACUUUUUGUCAUUUGGCAGAUUUGGAGUCCUUUACCAAAACUUAAAUAAAACGAAAUCUGUAACUCCGAUUAAUGAUCCGUCAAUUUUAUUCGAUUCGUAACUUUCCGAAUUACAAUUUUCAUAUAUCACAAUCCAUAUUUGGAUAGGCUUAGCUCCCGGAAUUUAUCCCGGAAGUGGCUGUUACAAACUGUCCUUCUAACAGUUUUUCUUAACUUUGUGUAGUUUGGUAAAAAUCCCAUAACUUGCUCCUCCGAUAUCGGAUUUAGUCCGUUUCGGAGUCUAUGGAAAGCUUAUUGAGUGUAAUAUAACAUAUCACAAGUCCAGAAUUUUUAGAGCACCCUAACAAAUCCGAAAUUUUCUGUUUAGGGCAGCAGUCCACUAAUUCAUUUAAAAAAAAAAAACUGUUUUGGUUCAUCUUCUUUGUUCAAGCUUAUCAACCCUAAAAAUGGCAAGAUCUAACCAU